CACAGCAGGAAGGAAGAAGGCAGCUUGGGGAAAGCUUCAAUAGAUCUAACAUGGCCAACUGAGCGGCAGUUUAUUGAUAUGGAGCGGUUGUGAAUUCCUGAUGCUGUACUGCGUGGGCCCCCGGAGACGUAGGCUGGCGAGAUAACCAUGACAGAACAUAUCAAUAGACAUGCACAGGAGACAGAAAGACGGAAGGAUGUGAGCAGCGAGGCAAUGUGAUUCAGACAAGACGAGAAUAUCAUUCCUUUGGAGCAGGUCCAUGAUGGAGAAAUGGUGGAGCUGUGGUUGAAGUCCGAGGCACAGAACACGAUGAAGACUCACAGCGGCAAAGAUUUAACCACUGCGGCUUCGGUGCUGAUUGGCUGAUAUCAUUUGGCUGUAACACAUCCGUGAUUGACAGCCGGCUAAAUUCUUCUGUUCUGUAUUCGGCUGCAGUGGCGGUUCAUCACCUUGACCCUAAUGUGACAAGCUGCAAAGGAUGGUGAUGCUGAUUUACAUCAUAAUGAAUGUGAAGAUCUCUGUGAUGGAUUUUCACCAAAAGCAUAGCAGCAAUGUGGCAAAAUGAACAAAAUUGCUAUCAGCUUUAAUAAGAAUUGUCAUUUUUGGUCAAUUGAUUGAUUGAUUUCAGAAAAAAAUAUGAAAAAAAUAAUAAUAAAAAAGAAGCUGAAUUAGUUUUGCUUAACUUCAUUCAUUAUGAAUACACAUGCAGUAGAGUGAACGAAGUGAAGAAAGAGUUGCAUUAACAGUGUUUGUCUAUAUUUCAUGGUCAAAGCUAUUAUUGCAUUUGUACAAGAUUGUAUUGACAAAAAGACCAUGACGUUUGUACAGCAGUGAUCCUUUGUUUGAUAUCCUUUCAUAGUGCGAGGAAGAGGUUGAGAAUGUGACGUGGUUGAUUUAAGGCUUCAGGGUUGUUUCCCACAGCGUGUGUUGUGAUUUACUGUUGUCAAAAACCGAUUUACUGUUGUUUCCUCAGCAUUUUUUAGGUUCAUGUUGGGGGCGAUUUGGUCAAAGAUGAAAGCAGAAGCGGCAUGAAAACAAACGUUCCAGUCGAAGACAAAAGACUGACUUUGUAAAAUGCAUUUCUUUAGAUACACUGCAGACUUUCGGCAAUGAUGAACUGGC
Long non-coding RNA from Gasterosteus aculeatus aculeatus (three-spined stickleback), 1122 nucleotides. The record is from Ensembl. Lineage: Eukaryota; Metazoa; Chordata; Actinopteri; Perciformes; Gasterosteidae.